RNAcentral lists this ribosomal RNA (253 nucleotides) under uncultured bacterium. RNAcentral's name for it is "partial 16S ribosomal RNA". It matches the Rfam family "Bacterial small subunit ribosomal RNA", at positions 524 to 776 of the family's 1533-position model. The record is from RNAcentral.
UACGGGGGGGGCAAGCGUUGUUCGGAAUUACUGGGCGUAAAGGGCUUGUAGGUGGCCAACUAAGUCAGACGUGAAAUCCCUCAGCUUAACUGGGGAACUGCUUCUGAUACUGGAUGGCUUGAGUUUGGGAGAGGGAUGCGGAAUUCCAGGUGGAGCGGUGAAAUGCGUAGAUAUCGUUUGGAACGCCAAUGGUGAAAACAGGCGACUGGGGAUGAGCUGACACUGAGACACGAAAGCCAGGGGAGCAAACGGG